This is a non-coding RNA of Peromyscus californicus insignis, 480 nucleotides long. NCBI's taxonomy places the organism in Eukaryota, Metazoa, Chordata, Mammalia, Rodentia, Cricetidae. The record is from the annotation of a RefSeq genome assembly.
AUGGAGUCACGAACCCAGGUCCUCAUGUCCCUCCUGCUCUGGGUGUCUGGUGAGAAAUUUAAAAGUACCUGUGCAGAUAUCAUGAUGACCCAGUCUCCAUCCUCCCUGGCUGUGACAGCAGGAGAGAAGGUCACCAUCAGCUGCAAGUCCAGUCAGAGUCUUUAUUCAAGUACCACCAAGAAGAACUACUUGGCCUGGUACCAGCAGAAACCGGGGCAGUCUCCUAAUCUUCUUAUAUACUGGGCAUCCACUCAGGAAACUGGGGUCCCUGAUCGCUUCACAGGCAGUGGGUCUGGGACAGAUUUCACUCUCACCAUCAGCAGUGUCCAGGCUGAAGACCUGGCAGAUUAUUACUGUAUGCAGGCUCAUACUGCUCCUCCCACAGUGCUUCAGCCUCCAACAAAAACCUCCUCUGGGAGUCUCACCACCUGCCUACAGAACACACAGCCCUGGACUUGCACACUUCCCCCUUUUGGCUGA